Molecule: ribosomal RNA, 405 nt
Filed under: uncultured alveolate
Lineage: Eukaryota
Description: bacterial SSU rRNA
Rfam family: Eukaryotic small subunit ribosomal RNA
Source: RNAcentral
AGAUUCCGGAGAGGGAGCCUGAGAAAUGGCUACCACAUCUAAGGAUGGCAGCAGGCGCGCAAAUUGUCCAAUCCCAAUGCAUUGGGGAGACAGUGAGAAGAAGUAUCAAUGCAGGGCUUAUAGCUUUGCAAUUGGAAUGAGUUCAACCCAAAUGCCUUUACAAGUAUCAAUUGGAGGGCAAGUCUGGUGCCAGCAGCCGCGGUAAUUCCAGCUCCAAUAGCGUAUAUUAAAAUUGUUGCAGUUAAAACGCUCGUAGUUGAAAUUUUGGUAGUAAUAAUGUGUAUCUCUUUGAGUAUGUACCCGUUGUUAUUAUCAUUAUUCCGGUAUAUACAAGGGGUAAUUCUUUUGUGUUGUCGGAACUGUUACUUUGAGAAAAUUAGAGUGUUUCAAGCAGGCGUGAUGCCU